This is a long non-coding RNA of Antechinus flavipes (yellow-footed antechinus), 2293 nucleotides long. RefSeq lists it as uncharacterized. Lineage: Eukaryota; Metazoa; Chordata; Mammalia; Dasyuromorphia; Dasyuridae. The transcript is spliced from 2 exons. The record is from RefSeq and is a predicted model, not a curated record.
CGGAGGGGGUGUCUUUGCUCCUGCGUUAGCGUCCCAGGUUUGGCUCAUCAAAGGUUAAAGGAACGGAACGCUGUAGGUUGGACCCCCUCCCAUUUCCGGGGGUGUCUAGUGUUGUUACAUGUCGGUGGCCGGCGCUUUUGUGUGGGCUGAAUUGUCCGCUUCCAGCACCCCGCUCCGCUGGCUCCUCGUCCCGAGCUAUGCCUUUUGUUUCCAAGUCCUCUGCAGACCCAAAGGGUGUUUUUUGUUUUGGGCUGGGAGGCCUCGUGGGUGGGUCCCCGGGACAAAGUAGGUGAAAGGUCAAGAACUACAUCCAGAAGAGUCGGCUUUAAUUUGUGAAUCGGGACACUUGGGCUCCCAGAGAGCUGAAAAAAGGACCAGAAGUGUGUUUAAGGACGAGUGAGAAUAUGUCCAAAAUGAAGUGAUAUAGUGGAAAGAUGGACCGGAUGAGCUCUGAGAGGAGAAAACGGAGGAGACAGUACUCUGCUAGGAUCAUUUUCUCCAAGGUCACCUGUGUCCUUGCAAUAAAUCUAAUGGCUCUGUCUCAGCUGUCAUUCUCUUUGCCCUCUCAACAGCCUUCGAAAUCGUGGACUGCCCCCUCUUCUUGCAUCUCUAAAAUUAUGCACUGCAUAUACCAAAAUAGUCAUAGCCCCAUUUUAUGUGGUAACAACUAGAAAUAAAGCUGGUGAAUGAAUCAACAAACGGAAAUGUGGAUACACUGGAUUUUUGUGCAAUAAGAAAUGAAUGAGAAAUUCAGGAAACCAUGGGAAGAUUUGUAUGAAUGGAUGCCAAAUAAAAAGCAGAAAUUAGAACAAUAUACACAGUGACUACAAUAAGGUAAAUGAAAAGGCUGUAUAGCUUAUUGCUUCCACUUUCUCACCUCCUACUCAACCCUUACAAACUAGAUUGAGUCCUAAAUAUGAGAUAAAACUGUUGUCUCCGUAAUCUUCAAUAAUCUCUUUAUUGCUAAAUCCAAUGGCCUUUUUUCAGUACUUGUCCUUCAUGCCUUUUCUGUACAUUUGACACUUGACAAACCCAUACUUCUUGAUACAGUCUCCUCCCUAAAUUUCUAAACACUACUCAGUCAUGAUGCUUUUCCUGCCUGUAUGACCUGUAUAUCCUGUAUGACCAAUCCUUCUUAGUCUACUUUAAAGAUCAUUAUUCAUGUCUUGUCCCCUAUGCAUGGGUGUAACUCGGGACUUGGUCCUUGGUCUUCCAUUGAACUAUCAUUUUCUAAGCAGAUGACUCCCAAAUAUAUUAAGACUUUAGCUUAUUCCUGAACUCUAGUUCCACACCUCUGAAUGCUGGUGACUCACAUGUAAGAUGUCUAAAACAAACUUCACUUUCUCUCCUCCUAAAUUGACCUCUCCUUAAUUUAUUUCUUUGGAGAGUACAGCCAUUGUUUCCAAUCAUUCAGAUUCAUAAUUUCAAAUUUUCACUUUCCCUUACCAUUCAUAUACAAUCAGUUGUCAUCAGAAAAAUAUAACUGCCAUUUUGGCAUUCCUGACAAAACCUGGAAGGGUAGACAACAAACUGUAACUGGGACUAGAAGCUGGGAGUUUUAAGGCACAUGACAACACUCCAAAAUGGGAGGUGAUAGUGAUCCCAAGAGUAUGUGAUCAACCAAUCAGAGGUGAAAUGAUGGAUCUACAUUCCCACCUUUAGCCAACAUAGCCAAUUAUGAUAUUUGGCUCCAACACAACUAUAUCAAUCCUUCACCCUUUACAACCAAACAUUCCACUUAUUUUCCCUUAAGUCCUUCAUAUCUUUGGAUAGGUAUCAUGAGGCCAUUCUCUACCAUCUUGCCAGUGACCAGCCAAGGAGAAAAAAAUCAUUUACUAAAAAGGAUGCAUGAUUAAAAAUGUCUGGGAGUCAAUCAUUGUUCUAAAGUUGGACUUGCAGGCUUGCAGGGGUCCUCAAACUUUUUAAAUAGGGGGCCAGUUCACUGUCCUUCAGACUGUUGGAGGGCCGGACUAUAGUAAAAACAUAAACUUUGUUUUGUGGGCCUUUAAAUAAAGAAACUUCAUGGCCCUGGGUGAGGGGGUUAACUGUCCUCAGCUGCCGCAUCUGGCCCGAGGGCUGUAGUUUGAGGACCCCUACAAGGAGGUUCUGCUUCCACCACCCUUUCUUUUCUACUGCUUAGUUAGCUCUAUUAAAUACUCUCUGCAGUGGUGGUUGUCAGUUCUGUUUUCUCUAUGCUAAACUACUCAGCCAGCCGUUCAAUUGUUCUCCAAUACAAUAAUUUCCAAACUUUUAUAUUAAGCAUCACAGCCAAUAAAAUAAUUUUGCAUACUCA